CGGCUCCAAAAUUGUUUGCCUUGCCUUACGUCAGAAUCGAAGUUGAAACUUCAAACACAGAUUGUCUUCAUCGCUAACGGGGCGCGAGCCAUAAUCUCAAACGCAGAAAUGGGUACUUCAAGAUUCACCCGCCCUAAGGGCUUAGAUGGAGAAUCAACCCCUAAUCUCUUUGUGGCCAACUGCGGGCCGGCUGUUGGCUUAUCACUUGAUGAGAUUGCUUCAGCGUUCUGCAAAUUUGGGGAAGUUUGUGGAGUCUACCCAGCUGAUGAAAGUGGUGCUCGUGUCAUUGUUUCUUAUUCUGAAGUGGGUUCUGCCCAAGCAGCCUUAAAAGCAUUAGAUGGACACUCAUGCUCUGAUCUCGGAGGACGUGUUCUGCACAUACGGAACUCCAUACUUCGACCUCCUUCCCAGGUGAAGGAUUCAGUUUCAGUAUGUUUGCUGGAUUCGGAGUUGGGAAUUCCAGGCAUUUACUUGUUGCAUGACUUCGUUACCACUGAAGAAGAGGAAGAACUCCUUGCAGCAGUGGAUGGUAGGCCAUGGAAAAGUCUCUCAAAACGAAGGGUUCAGCAUUAUGGCUAUGAGUUUUUGUAUGAAGCGAGGAAUGUUAAUACAGAACAGCAGUUGGGUGAACUUCCUCACUUUGUUUCUCCCAUACUUGAAAAAAUCUCAUUGUUUCCCCACAUUGAAAAGGCUGAAGAUGUUACUUUGGACCAACUGACGGUCAAUGAAUACCCUCCUGGAGUGGGCUUGUCUCCACAUAUAGAUACUCAUUCUACAUUUGAAGGAUUAAUUUUCAGCCUCUCAUUAGCUGGGCCUUGUAUCAUGGAGUUCAGAAGAUAUUCACAAGGCACAUGGCUUCCUUCAUCUCUCUCCAGUACUGGCAUGCAAGAGCAAAAUCCUGACUACUGUUCAAGUUUUACAAGGAGGUCUAUUUUCCUUCCUCCUCGGUCAAUGCUUCUAUUAUCUGGGGAGGGGCGAUAUGCCUGGCAUCACUAUAUUCCACAUCAUAAGGAUACUUUUGAUAGGUUGAUAUGGUGAGGGACAACAUGAUCAGAAGGGGUUCAAGGAGGGUUUCCUUCACAUUCCGUAAGGUCAGAGCAGUACCAUGCCAGUGUGAAUUUCCACAGUACUGUGAUUCUCAAAAGUAAGAUGCCAUUGAUGUCAGCCACUAAAGUCCAUAGCUUUCGUUGAACCAGUUCUCAUCAAGCAGCAGACGUGAGUUGAACUAAACUCCAUCAAUUAUGACACUUCAAGCAUCCUCGUCACUUAUCUGAUAGCUCACGGAACAUGUUGCCGUAGUUCACAACUAAUCUGAUUAAGGACCAACAGACUGAAGAAAUGGCAAAAGUGAAGGAUGAUUGGAAUUCUUGCUGCAAUACCUCCUAUUUUUCAUGGAGGAAAAUGGGGCAAUUUUUUGGCAUGAUGCGUUUGCUUCAAAACAUGAAAUACCUAUACAUCUUGUAGUGUCACACCCAAAUUUGGGUAUGAGAUUGAUUUCUGGUUCUUCUAUUCCCUUUUCUCUGAUCAGGUGGAAAGAGAGGUAAUAGUUUCAAUCUAUUGAGGUAAAAUGGAAGAUUCAGGUUAGAUGACAGAAUUUUUGCUAGGAGUUUCUUGGCCUUUUACUGGGAAUGAAGUUUCAAUUUUUAUUUUCCAUUUUAAGAAUGAACCGCACUGGCUCUA
Macadamia integrifolia is the source of this 1680-nucleotide RNA transcript. It is a transcript of the gene named alkylated DNA repair protein ALKBH8 homolog, with no coding region annotated. The transcript has 7 exons. Lineage: Eukaryota; Viridiplantae; Streptophyta; Magnoliopsida; Proteales; Proteaceae. The record is from RefSeq and is a predicted model, not a curated record.